AAGGAGUUAUGCUGUAUGUAUUGUUCUCACUGCCUGCUAAUUGUUUUCUUCUCAGUUUCAGGAGAGCUGCUUAGUGAGUCCAUUGAAAAUCUCACUCCUGAUGAAGAGAGGAUUUGUGUUUACAGAACAGAAAUGCUGUUGCAGCAUCUGUUUCCUUCUUUGAGCUUCAUGAAGAUUGAGAACCUGGGGAAUAAGUGACUGCCAUUGCCAUUUUACCUUUAAGGAUCAUUUCACUAUGCUCACACAUUAAAGGUUUGUUUGCUUUCAGAAAGCAUUAGCCCUCAUUAAAUAGGAAUGUAUGAAAUCUGGUGUAAAUAAGCUUAAUUGGUAUGAAGGCUUGAUUGGAUUUGGGGAAGAGGUGUAGAUAUUGCCUUCUGAUGUACUUUCUAAAGAAGCCUGGCAGGGUAGCCUCAGUGGAGAGAGCUCUUAAGCAGGAAUCUGAGG
Molecule: long non-coding RNA, 444 nt
Filed under: Coturnix japonica (Japanese quail)
Lineage: Eukaryota; Metazoa; Chordata; Aves; Galliformes; Phasianidae
Description: lncRNA (ENSCJPG00005017042.1)
Source: RNAcentral